UACGUAGGGGGCAAGCGUUGUCCGGAAUGACUGGGCGUAAAGGGUGUGUAGGCGGUCUUGUAAGUUAAAAGUGAAAUCCCCGGGCUUAACUCGGGUGCUGCUUUUAAAACUAUAAGACUUGAGUGCAGUAGAGAAAAGUGGAAUUCCUAGUGUAGCGGUGGAAUGCGUAGAUAUUAGGAGGAACACCAGUGGCGAAAGCGACUUUUUGGACUGUAACUGACGCUGAGGCACGAAAGUGUGGGGAGCAAACAGG
This 253-nucleotide ribosomal RNA is filed under the name uncultured bacterium. Its description in RNAcentral is "partial 16S ribosomal RNA". It matches the Rfam family "Bacterial small subunit ribosomal RNA", at positions 524 to 776 of the family's 1533-position model. The record is from RNAcentral.